GGAUCAAAUUGUCGGUCGUGCCUCGGUACGUACUGGCAUUAUUGGUUCCUCCUCUGAAGAACCACGAUGUCAUUAAUUUGGUGUCGCGGGGAAGUCAGGACUGUUACUUUGUAAAAUUAAGAGUGUUUAAAGUACAGGCUCGCGCUUGAAUACAUUAGCAUGGAAUAAAUGAAAUAGGACGUUUGUAUUCUAUUUUGUUGGUUUCUUAGGAUCGACGUAAUGAUUAAUAGGGAUAGUUGGG
Molecule: ribosomal RNA, 241 nt
Filed under: uncultured Glomus
Lineage: Eukaryota; Fungi; Glomeromycota; Glomeromycetes; Glomerales; Glomeraceae
Description: partial 18S ribosomal RNA
Rfam family: Eukaryotic small subunit ribosomal RNA (bases 46-241)
Source: RNAcentral